RNAcentral lists this ribosomal RNA (440 nucleotides) under uncultured bacterium. Its description in RNAcentral is "partial 16S ribosomal RNA". It matches the Rfam family "Bacterial small subunit ribosomal RNA", at positions 338 to 795 of the family's 1533-position model. The record is from RNAcentral.
CCUACGGGAGGCAGCAGUGGGGAAUAUUGCACAAUGGGGGAAACCCUGAUGCAGCGACGCCGCGUGAGUGAAGAAGUAAUUCGGUAUGUAAAGCUCUAUUAGCAGGGAAGAAAAUGACGGUAUCUGAGUAAAAAGCCCCGGCUAACUACGUGCCAGCAGCCGCGGUAAUACGUAGGGGGCAAGCGUUAUCCGGAUUUACUGGGUGUAAAGGGAGCGUAGACGGCAGUGCAAGUCUGGAGUGAAAGGCGGGGGCUCAACCCCCGGACUGCUCUGGAAACUGUACGGCUGGAGUGCAGGAGAGGUAAGUGGAAUUCCUAGUGUAGCGGUGAAAUGCGUAGAUAUUAGGAGGAACACCAGUGGCGAAGGCGGCUUACUGGACUGUAACUGACGUUGAGGCUCGAAAGCGUGGGGAGCAAACAGGAUUAGAUACCCGGGUAAUC